UGCUCCCUGCGGUGUACGUUCAAGACUGAAAUUCUUUGAACCAAUUAUCAAAACAGGUUGUUGACUAAAGUGAAACAGUUGUGCGCGCCUUUCUUCAAGAUGCGCCUGAUGAAUCCGGGAGACAGCCACCUUGAACCCUGUGGUUCAAGACAUUGGUCUAACGGCACAUGCGGGGAGCUU
This 180-nucleotide non-coding RNA is filed under the name Nitrosomonas sp. RNAcentral describes it as "6S RNA". It matches the Rfam family "6S / SsrS RNA". Rfam says of the family: E. coli 6S RNA was the first non coding RNA to be sequenced, but its function was unknown until recently. Lineage: Bacteria; Pseudomonadati; Pseudomonadota; Betaproteobacteria; Nitrosomonadales; Nitrosomonadaceae. RNAcentral also lists the same sequence under 1 other name. The record is from RNAcentral.